This 540-nucleotide ribosomal RNA is filed under the name Proteus mirabilis. Its description in RNAcentral is "bacterial LSU rRNA". It matches the Rfam family "Bacterial large subunit ribosomal RNA", at positions 1230 to 1770 of the family's 2925-position model. Lineage: Bacteria; Pseudomonadati; Pseudomonadota; Gammaproteobacteria; Enterobacterales; Morganellaceae. The record is from RNAcentral.
AGGGGAGCGUUCUGUAAGCCUGCGAAGGUGUACUGUGAGGUAUGCUGGAGGUAUCAGAAGUGCGAAUGCUGACAUAAGUAACGAUAAUGCGGGGGAAAAACCCGCACGCCGGAAGACCAAGGGUUCCUGUCCAACGUUAAUCGGGGCAGGGUGAGUCGACCCCUAAGGCGAGGCUGAAAAGCGUAGUCGAUGGGAAACGGGUUAAUAUUCCCGUACUGGUGGUAACUGCGAUGGGGGAACGGAGAAGGCUAGGUUGUCCGGGCGACGGUCGUCCCGGUUCAAGCAGGUAGGCAGAGUGAUUAGGCAAAUCCGGUCACUUAAUGCUGAGAUGUGAUGACGAACCACCAAGGUGGUGAAGCAAUUGAUGCCCCGCUUCCAGGAAAAGCCUCUAAGCUUCAGGUUACCAACAAUCGUACCCCAAACCGACACAGGUGGUCAGGUAGAGAAUACUCAGGCGCUUGAGAGAACUCGGGUGAAGGAACUAGGCAAAAUGGUGCCGUAACUUCGGGAGAAGGCACGCUGGCGGUAGGUAAAGUCCCU